Molecule: long non-coding RNA, 2952 nt
Filed under: Helianthus annuus (common sunflower)
Lineage: Eukaryota; Viridiplantae; Streptophyta; Magnoliopsida; Asterales; Asteraceae
Description: sRNA HanXRQr2_Chr11g0476881
Source: RNAcentral
GGUUGAUGGGUAAGGAUUUAAACACAUGCGUAAACCGAGAAACGGGAACACGAAUUUAAAGUCAAAAGACUCGGAUUAUGAGUUAUGACUGAAAGACCAUAAAAUUUCGCAAACAGAAAUUUUGAUAAUUAUAUUCAACUAUUCGAAGUCGAAUGGGUUGAAUAAAGAAUAAAGUUGAUUGUUUAUAAGUGAUGGAUUUCACAUUAAUAAGUCAAACAGGUUGAAUACAAUAUAACGCCGAAUGGCACAAAUGAGCGCUAGCCAGAUAAGGGUAGCGUUAAAUGCAAGAGAAUAAUGAGCCCGGUAAUGGGAUAUAACCAAAUAAGAAUAAAUUAUGGACUGUCAAUAUCCUGGUAGGGAUAAUUGACAAAAGUUAAAGAGAAGAUCCUAAAACUAAAACUUCGGUUUUAGUAAGAAAUAAUGUUUUUACAAACAUAGACUCUGAUAGGAAUUUAAAUAAUAAGUAUGAAAGAUACAAAUCUUGACACUGAUAGGUGCAAGACAAUAUAUUCGAAAAGUGAUAUUUUCGAAGAUGAAAAGGUUGAUAUAAAUUAAACAUGAUGUGACAUGAUCACGGUCAAGAGGUACAAUGUGAAGAAGAAUCACAUUAUAACCAAGCGAGCGGUAAAAAGAAACCGGACAAAUAAGUCUAGUUAGUGAAACCGGUUAAGGUCAGUAAUUCAAGUUAAGAAAUUUGGUUUGCUUGUAAGUGGUAAAUUCGGUAUAACUGAACCGAAUAAAUAAAUUUGAAAAUAAAAAGAUUUGUUGCUAAAAGUGAAAGAUUUCACUAAAGACCUUUAAACGGGUCAAAGUAACGGGUUCAUAAAGAAAUCCGAUAGUAUAUGAAAGCAUUGAAUAUCGCUAAGUUGAUUAAACUAGUGGAAAUAACGAGAUUACGUUAUUUCAAGUCGCAUCAUGUCAUAUAAGAUACGUAGAUGAUUAAUAACCAAAAGGAUAUUACCAUACUUUUCUGGUAAUACUAACAAUCGGUUAAGAUAUGAGAAAUGCUUAAUUGAUUAUCGAGAGCAAAUGCAUGGAGUGGAACUCGAUAAAUUAAGUAAGAAAAGGUUUCGGGGACGAAACCUCUUUAAGGGGGGUAGACUUGUAACACCCCGAAAACGAGUUUGGUAAUUAAACCCCGUUAAUACUAAAGACGGGGAAAGUACCGUUAGUGGUAAAAGUAAACUGUCAAAUAUUAGGAAUUUAUUUAAUAAUCCUAAUAUUUAUUUGAAGUGAAUAAAAAGCUUUUUAGAAAUAAAGUGAUAGAAGGCCCGAGUUUACGGGACCCGAAAUAAACUUAGUCAUAAAUACUUUUCGAACCCGCAAAGUUAAUUAGGAAUAUUAAACCUAGUUAAUAAGUGGGGAAUAUUGUUAGAAAUAAGUAGGUUGUGCCCUACUUAAUUAACUAACCAAAUUAGAGGGGCCAAUAUUGUUAAAAUUGAAACUUAACUUUAAUUAAUUAAAUAAAACACACCAAACACCCCACAAGGAGGUGUCUGGUCGUACAAGAAGAACAAGGGGGCGAUCCCCACACAUCAAAACCCUAAAUCUUCACCAAACUUGCAAAUUGAAGGCUCAAUCCAAGUCAAAAUCGAAAAUCAAGCAUAGAUUAUUGAUCCCCAUUGAAAGGGGAGUCAUAAGGUAUGUAAAUUUUGUGAAAAAUCUCUAGUUGGAUUUCUAGGUAAACUUAGAAAUCUGAAAUUUGAUGGUUGCAUGUUUGUUAUAUGAUGAAAUUAUGAAUGAUUUGAUGUCUAGGAGUAAACCCUAGUCAUUUACUUGUUGAAUUGAUGUUCAUAAUUGUGAAUUCAUGAUCACCCGAUUAUGUGCUAAAUGAGUUUUGUAGAAACAUGAUGAACCCUAGAAUCAUAAUGGUUAAAUUGUGUUAGUAGAACUCCCUGAAGUUGGAUUUGAAGUUUGAUGUUAGUACUUGUUACUUAUGCUAGAAUUUAAGGGUUUAGAACACUUAAAUGGGCUGGAGAAAUUUGAUGUUUCGUGUUGCACACAAGGUGCUUGAUGAAAUGCUUGAACAAGAAAAUAUAACAAAACUGAUUGGGAUUAAAAAUUAUUGGGCUGCAGUUUAAAAAAAAAUCAUAUAAAAUCAUUGGAACGACCUGUGAGGUUGAGCCUUAUAUGCUCAGAAAGCUAUUGAAACAUACUACGUUUUAUGUUUGAACAUGUUUGUUAAAUUCUGAUGUUAAACGGGUCAAAACAGUGUCCGAAGUCGGCUGAACUGUUUUGACAGCAAGCUGACUGGAAGCAUUUUUUUUACUUCAGAGCUGAUUUUGUAAAAAUCAUAUAAAAUCAUAGGAACAUCGUUAGAAGACGUACCAUAUAUGCCUAGAAAGCUAUUUCGGAGUUCUACGAUCCAUUUUUGAACAUGUUGAUCUAAUUCAGCUUUUAAAUGGGUCAAAAUGGUCAAUUACAGCAGCUGAAUACAAAAUCGCUGCACUUUAGUAAUGUUCUUAUUAACCAAGAAAAAGACAUAUGAUUGCGUAUACUUGUUUAGUCAUGAAGUAUUUAUUGUUAGGAACAAGUAACACUUUAUAUGACAUGCUUAAAGUGUUCAAAAUCACUUACUAACUAGUUUGUAUAAAUAACUUGACUAACGGGUCAAACGGUUAGUGAAUGGAAAGAAUUAUGACAAAAAAAAUAAAUAAGUAAAUAAUAUAUUUGUUGAAUAAAUAGCACAUUUUGGUGAAUAAGUGUGUGAAUCCAUAAGGUGUGAUGGUCAUGUUAAUGGUUGACUAAUCUAAUCAUCUUGUGGAUAUGAUAUGGUAGUUUGACUCUGACAAGCUAGGUAGGAGCUUGGAAAUGAACGGGUCAAAUGGAUACAAGUUCAAGUAUGAAGCUCGCAAGGAUGCAAGAUAUCCAAUGGAUACUCGCAUCGCUCUUAAUUAGCAAUUAUAAAGCAAGGUAUUAAACCGGGUUAGUAAGUUGAUCCGAGCCAGGUAU